This 2066-nucleotide long non-coding RNA is filed under the name Sus scrofa (pig). RNAcentral's name for it is "lncRNA (ENSSSCG00015001536.1)". Lineage: Eukaryota; Metazoa; Chordata; Mammalia; Artiodactyla; Suidae. The record is from RNAcentral.
ACGCGCCCGCGAGGCUCCGCCCCGCCCCUUCCUGCAGCCGCCGGCCGCUUCCCCGGUGGGUCCUCCAGCCCCUACGCUGGAGGUGGAGGGGUGAGGGCGCGGUCCGACCGGAAAGCGCGGCACCCCGGCGCUCGGCGCUCACUGACUGCCCAACUCCACGGAGACGCUUGCUCUAUUCUCUCCCCACCUGCGCCCGGGACCUGGGAGGGAUGGGCGUGGCCGACCUUUCCUGUAUGGACGGUGAAAAGGCCAGAAGUGACUCUCCUGUCCAGGGUCUCAAGCUGGAACUGGAUCCUCCCUGCUCAGGCUGCGAUCCGCUCGUCGCAUCUGCUGGGCAAGUCUUGAAAACACAAACCUGCUUCCAGCACAAUGCACCUGCCCAUCAUCCUAUAUCCUGUAUCAGAGGUUCCUGGAGAAAUGAAAGCAAAUUGUUUAAUGCAAAGUUUAAUUGGAAAUCUAUUGGAAUUGAUACAGGAAAUACCCAAAAAUAGACUUCUCAUUAAUGUAUAACAGGUAAGCAGUUUCUCUGUGCUUUUUAAAGAAAAGGACAUUUACAUAAUCUAUUUUUACUUGUAUAUAGCUAUAUGGUAUCUAUUUAUGUAGUCUGGUGAGGUAAUACCUCAUUAUAGAAUUAUCUAGGACUAAACAUCUUUCUACACAGGCAAUAAUGCUAGGAGAAAAAAUAGCAGGUAAAAAUUCUUGAUAAAUUAUGGGGAUUAUUAUGAGCUUGGUGUCAUUUAUCUCAGGUUACACACACACACACACACACACACACACACACACACACACACACACUUCUACCCACAGUUUCUGUUUGUCUAUCAACAAUGACUGUUAAUAGCAUAGACUCUAAGCUAAAUUGUGAAAUAGGGCUCUUUUUUUUGCCAUUCAUUCUCCUUUUUACCAGUGUUCUCUUUUUUCCUUUCAGUGUCUGUAUAUCUAUGACCUCUGAGCCUCACCAUCGGUAGGAAUCCACUGUCCUCUCUUCAUCCCUAAUCAAACUUAGAAAUUACCUAAUAUCAGCAUGCUUUGUAGAUUAUACUAUAAUAUAAUGGGGCAUUUUCAUAUUGGUAUUAUAUUCCCCAAAUGAUAUCCUCAUACCCUAUCCCCAUUCUCCUUCCUCCUGGAAUGCAUUCCAAUCCCUUCUAUAUUUUUUCAACUACACAUUUUUUGCCUUUUUUUUUUUUAAGGGCCACACCCGAGGCAUAUAGAAGUUCCCAGGCGAGGAGUUGAAUCAGAGCUACAGCUGACAGCCUAUACCACAGCCACAGCAAUGCCAGAUCUGAACUGUAUCUGCGACCUACACCACAGCUCCUGGCAACUCCAGAUCCCCAACUCACUGAACAAGGCCAGGGAUGGAACCCACAUCCUCAUGGAUACAGGUUGGAUUCGUUUCUGCUGAGCCACGAUGGGAACUCCCCAAUCACAUUUUUUACCACAAAAUAUGAUGUUGAGAUGUGUCUUUUUCCAUAUCCACCCGCAUGUUCAUUGCAGCACUAUUCCCAAUAGCUGAGACAUGGAAACAACCUAAUUGCCCAUCAACAGACAGUUGGGUUAAGAAGAUGUGGUAUAUAUACACAAUGGAAUACUACUCAUCCAUAAAAAAGAACAAAAUAAUGCCGUUUGCAGCAACACGGAUGGAACUAGAGACUCUCAUAUCAAGUGAAGUAAAUCAGAAAGAGAAAGACAAAUACCAUAUGAUUUCACUUAUAUCUGGAAUCUAAUAUAGGGCACAAAUGAACUUUUCCACAGAAAAGAAAAUCAUGGACAUGGAGAACAGACUUGUGGUUGCCAAGAGGGAGGGGAAGGGAGUAGGUGGGACUGGGAAUUUAGGGUUAAUAGAUGCAAACUAUAGCCUUUGGAAUGGAUAAGCAAUGGGAUCCUGCUGUAUAUCCCUGGGAACUAUGUCUGGUCACUUGUGAUGGAGCAUGAUGAUGUGAGAAAAAAGAAUGUAUAUGUAUGUGUGACUGGGUAACCUUGCUGUGCAGCAGAAAAUUGAUAGAGCACUGUAAAUCAGCUAUAAUGGAAAAAAUAAAAAUCAUUACAAAAAAAUGUGUCUUUUUAAU